UAGGGAAUCUUCGGCAAUGGACGGAAGUCUGACCGAGCAACGCCGCGUGAGUGAAGAAGGUUUUCGGAUCGUAAAGCUCUGUUGUUAGAGAAGAACGUUGGUAGGAGUGGAAAAUCUACCAAGUGACGAUAACUAACCAGAAAGGGACGGCUAACUACGUGCCAGCAGCCGCGGUAAUACGUAGGUCCCGAGCGUUGUCCGGAUUUAUUGGGCGUAAAGCGAGCGCAGGCGGUUCUUUAAGUCUGAAGUUAAAGGCAGUGGCUUAACCAUUGUACGCUUUGGAAACUGGAGGACUUGAGUGCAGAAGGGGAGAGUGGAAUUCCAUGUGUAGCGGUGAAAUGCGUAGAUAUAUGGAGGAACACCGGUGGCGAAAGCGGCUCUCUGGUCUGUAACUGACGCUGAGGCUCGAAAGCGUGGGGAGCAAACAGGAUUAGAUACCCUGGUAGUCCACGCCGUAAACGAUGAGUGCUAGGUGUUAGGCCCUUUCCGGGGCUUAGUGCCGCAGCUAACGCAUUAAGCACUCCGCCUGGGGAGUACGACCGCAAGGUUG
Molecule: ribosomal RNA, 550 nt
Filed under: uncultured bacterium
Lineage: Bacteria
Description: bacterial SSU rRNA
Rfam family: Bacterial small subunit ribosomal RNA
Source: RNAcentral